This is an RNA transcript of Nymphaea colorata (pocket water lily), 3662 nucleotides long. It is a transcript of the gene named beta-amylase 2, chloroplastic-like, with no coding region annotated. The record is from RefSeq and is a predicted model, not a curated record. The transcript is spliced from 11 exons. Lineage: Eukaryota; Viridiplantae; Streptophyta; Magnoliopsida; Nymphaeales; Nymphaeaceae.
CUGAAAAGUGUUUCGACAUUUUUUUCUUGAAAAAAAAAAUGAACGUGAAAUACCAGAAGUGCGCCUCCCCUCACGGACGAUCCUGUCCCUUCUCGGGCAGGAGACGUGUCCGCAUGUGAGCCGUCGGAUGGGCGAGGCCUCCGUCGAGCCAUCUCGUUCGUGUUAAAAUGGGCGUCCUCGCACGGCCGCACACGAGGGAACCCUAGAAUUCGCAGGCUCGCACAAGAAGUGAACUUUCUCUCUCUUCUCUGUCUCUUUCUCUCUCCUACUCCUUCCCCUCUGUGUCCAGAGAGCCGCCGGAGACUUCGCUUGUAUCGCCGGAAAACGCCAUUUUGCGGGCGGUCCGGUAGAGACGACAAAGCAAGAGGACCCACCCGGCGCCGCCGGAUCUUGCCGGGGGACCUCGGGCUCCGGCCGGAGAUUUCUCGAAGUCGCCGGAUUUAGGCCGGCCGGGGCGCGAGGACAGGGAGGGUUUCCCCGAGGCAGGGAAGAAUCAGACGGGAGAAUGGCGGCCUCAAGGAGUUAGUGCUCGCCGGAAAAGUAGGUGACCGGCGGGAAUUGGGAAACGGCGGAGUGGGAGAAUUGCAGCCUUGCAGGGACGGCUAUCUUGCAGGUUAGGCUUUCGGCUGCUCACCUGGUUCUUGUUCUUGAUGUUCUGAGGUUUUGACUGAACGCUGGAGAGCUGAUCUCGUUUACCGGCUGGAGGACCGCUGGCGGUGGAGAGAAAAAUCUGACUGUCGGGGGUGGAAUUAAAGAAGAUCAGAAAGGGGGGAAGCUUGUGGGGGAAUUGAAUUUCCGAACGUCGAGCUUCCUGCUCCUGCCUGAAUGCGUCUUUGCGAAGAGGUGAGCCGUCUUUGAACCUUUGCCGGAUUUCUCUCCGGGAAUUUAGUGCAGAUCAAAGAAACCUUAUUUAUGGUCGAAGGAGCAGAUUUUGAGCUCGGAAACCCCCUAGUUUGCUGAAUGCCUUUCCAGGCAACCACCAAAACCCUAUUUUUCGCCUUUGUUUCUUCUUUUGAACUAUAAUUUCGAUUACCAGAACUCGAAGUAGAUUCAAAACUCAAAUCUUUAAGAUCAAACUGAAAGCUAGCUCCAAUCGGGGUUUCCGUACACGUUACCUGACACCUGAUGGGCUCGAAGUUUUCCACAAAAAUCCGGUAGAGGGCGACUGGUGGCAAGGAAGAAUGGCGCAAGAAAUGGAUAAAUUAGGUGGAGUAGCAGGGAUGGUGGACGACGAGGAGGACGACGACGAAGAGGAAGAGGACGACGACAUGGACAUGGGGGUGAAGGAAGAGGAAGACGAGGACGACGACGAAGACGGGGUGGAGAGGAAGAAGAGGAUGAUGAUGAUGGGGAUGGAAGGGGUGAGCGGGCCACCAGGGCAGCAGCACCACCAUUUCCAGCAGCUGCAGAUACAGCAGGGCGUCGGGGUUGGGCUGGUUCAAGGCGGUGGAGGGGCGGUUCAGGUCGGCGGUGGUGGUGGAGGGAUGGUGAUGAGGAGGAGCAGGCCGAAGGAGGAGAAGGAGCGAACGAAACUUAGGGAAAGACACCGGCGGGCCAUCACGGCGAGGAUUCUGUCGGGGCUCCGGCGGCACGGCAACUACAACCUCCGGGUGCGGGCGGACAUCAACGACGUCAUCGCGGCCCUGGCUCGGGAGGCCGGCUGGAUGGUGCUGCCCGACGGCACCACCCUCCCACCUCCCACCAGAUCCCCUCAUAACACGCGGUCCCCGGCUCCUGCUCCGACGGUCCCGACGACGCCUCUCAUGGUAGCCUCGCAGUCGCCGCCCGCAUCGUCUCUCAGAGGAGCGUCCGGCUUCAGGAGCUCGGUCGAAUACCGGCCGUGCCGAUUGAAGGGCGUCUUCACGCCAACUGCAGCCUCUUCCUUCGAUGGUUCUUCUGGUGGUAGGACCCGACCUGGAGCAGGAAUAGGGGACGGAGGGGAUCAUUCCUCUUCGCUGGGAAGCUGCUUUCCGGGUGACGAUAAGCAGGUGGUGGACCUACCUGCAAGGGUUAAGGAGCGUGAUUUUGCUGGGACUCCUUGUGUUCCAGUUUAUGUGAUGCUGCCUCUUGGAGUCAUCAAUUUGAAGUGUGAGCUGGUAGAUCCUGAUGGCCUAGUUAAGCAUCUGAAAGCAUUGAAAUCUGCUAAUGUUGAUGGUGUUAUGGUUGAUUGCUGGUGGGGAAUUGUGGAAGCUCACUCACCACAGAAGUACAAUUGGCAUGGUUAUAAAAGGCUAUUCCAGAUUAUACAUGAGCUGAAUCUUAAAUUGCAGGUGGUGAUGUCCUUUCAUGAAUGUGGAGGUAAUGUUGGCGAUGAUGUGUGCAUUCCUUUGCCUCAUUGGAUAGUAGAAAUUGGAAGGUCAAAUCCUGACAUAUUUUUCACGGAUCGUGAGGGAAGGCGCAAUCCUGAGUGCCUAUCUUGGGGAAUUGACAAAGAAAGGGUUUUAAGAGGUAGAACUGCAGUCGAGGUUUACUUUGACUACAUGAGAAGUUUCCGUGUGGAAUUUGAUGAGUUUUUUGAGGCUGGCAUCAUUUCCGAGAUUGAAAUUGGUUUAGGUCCCUGUGGAGAGCUGCGCUAUCCAUCUUAUCCUAUACGGCAUGGUUGGAGAUAUCCCGGAAUUGGGGAAUUCCAGUGCUAUGAUCAAUACUUGUUGAAAAGUUUGAGGAAGGCUGCCGAGAAGAGGGGUCACUCUUUCUGGGCAAGAGGACCAGAUAAUGCAGGAACAUAUAAUUCACAGCCACAUGAAACUGGAUUCUUCUGUGAUGGAGGUGAUUAUGACAGCUAUUAUGGAAGAUUCUUCCUUGCUUGGUAUUGUCAAGUUUUGAUAGAUCAUGCGGACCGUGUGCUCUCUCUUGCAAGGCUGGCUUUUGAAGGCACCUGCAUUGCAGUAAAGCUAUCUGGUAUUCAUUGGUGGUAUAAAACUGCAAGCCAUGCUGCUGAGUUGACCGCUGGUUUCUAUAACCCUUGCAAUCGCGACGGCUAUGCCCCAAUAGCACAGAUGCUGAAGAACCAUAAUGCUACACUUAAUUUUACAUGUGUAGAAUUGCGCACAUUGGACCACCACGAGGACUUUCCAGAGGCAUUGGCAGACCCUGAAGGAUUGGUCUGGCAAGUGCUGAAUGCUGCAUGGGAUGUCAACAUCCAGGUCGCUAGUGAAAAUGCUCUGCCGUGUUAUGAUAGAGAUGGUUAUAAUAAGAUUUUGGAGAAUGCAAAGCCUCUAAAUAAUCCUGAUAGAAGGCAUUUAUCCGCAUUUACCUACCUCAGACUCGGGCCAGCUUUGAUGGAGAGACACAAUUUCUUGGAAUUUGAGCGCUUUGUGAAGAGAAUGCAUGGCUUAGCAACAAACUGAGGAGAGCUCAGGGUCUAGCUGGGUGGCAGUUGCUUGAAUGCUUACAGUGAUCCCGAUCGCUGAUACUACAGAAAGUAUUGUUGUAAGCCGGCGUUUGCAACCAACUGGAAGGAGAUGGGAAAUACUCACAUAAACCGCGUCUUGGGGAUUUUUUUUUUCUUGCUUUUCUUUCCACAUUUUGCCUGUUCACCGCCGUUCCCUCUUACGAGGCUGUGUACUUGUAAGUGUAAGAAAGAUACUGUAUUUGAGAAACUUUAUUUCAGCCAUUUUGUAAAGAAAAAAUUGCAAUUUCAAUAGAAAAAUUUUACUUAUUCU